RNAcentral lists this ribosomal RNA (317 nucleotides) under uncultured bacterium. RNAcentral's name for it is "bacterial SSU rRNA". It matches the Rfam family "Archaeal small subunit ribosomal RNA", at positions 723 to 1036 of the family's 1478-position model. The record is from RNAcentral.
AGUGAAUAGAUACCCAGGUAGUCCCAGCUGUAAACGAUGCAGACUCGGUGAUGAGUUGGCUUAUUGCUAAACUCAGUGCCGCAGGGAAGCCGUUAAGUUUGCCGCCUGGGGAGUACGGUCGCAAGACUGAAACUUAAAGGAAUUGGCGGGGAGCACCACAAGGGUGGAAAGCCUGCGGUUCAAUUGGAGUCAACGCCGGAAACUCUUACCGGGGUCGGACAGCAGAGUGAAGGUCAAGCUGAAGACUUUACCAGACAAGCUGAGAGGAGGUGCAUGGCCGGUCGCCAGCUCGUGCCGUGAGGUGUCCUGUUAAGUCA